RNAcentral lists this ribosomal RNA (460 nucleotides) under uncultured bacterium. RNAcentral's name for it is "partial 16S ribosomal RNA". It matches the Rfam family "Bacterial small subunit ribosomal RNA", at positions 338 to 795 of the family's 1533-position model. The record is from RNAcentral.
CCUACGGGUGGCAGCAGUGAGGAAUAUUGGUCAAUGGGCGCGAGCCUGCACCAGCCAAGUAGCGUGAAGGAUGACUGCCCUACGGGUUGUAAACUUCUUUUAUAAAGGAAUAAAGUGAGGCCCGUUUGCCUUUUUGUAUGUACUUUAUGAAUAAGGAUCGGCUUACUCCGUGCCAGCAGCCGCGGUACUACGGAGGUUCCUCGCUUUAUCCGGAUUUAUUGGGUUUAAAGGGAGCGUAGAUGGGUUUUUAAGUCAGUUGUGAAAUUUUGCGGCUCAAACGUAAAAUUGCAAUUGUUCCUGGCAGUCUUGAUGACAGUUGAGGUAGGCGGAAUUCGUGGUGUAGCGGUGAAAUGCUUAGAUAGCACGAAGAACUCCGAUGGAGAAGGCAGCUUACUAAACUGCCACUGACAUUGAUGCUCGAAAGUGUGGGUAGCAAACAGGAUUAGAUACCCCAGUAGUC